RNAcentral lists this transfer RNA (65 nucleotides) under Camelus bactrianus (Bactrian camel). It matches the Rfam family "tRNA". Rfam says of the family: Transfer RNA (tRNA) molecules are approximately 80 nucleotides in length. Their secondary structure includes four short double-helical elements and three loops (D, anti-codon, and T loops). RNAcentral also lists the same sequence under 1 other name. The record is from Rfam by way of RNAcentral. Lineage: Eukaryota; Metazoa; Chordata; Mammalia; Artiodactyla; Camelidae.
GGUAUAGCUCAAUGGUAGAGCCCAUGCUUAGCAUGCAUGAAUCCUGGGUUCAAUCCCUAGAACCU